This 332-nucleotide unclassified non-coding RNA is filed under the name Zea mays. RNAcentral describes it as "misc RNA Zm00001eb093080". Lineage: Eukaryota; Viridiplantae; Streptophyta; Magnoliopsida; Poales; Poaceae. The record is from RNAcentral.
CCAGUCGUCGUCGUUGCUCUCGCUCUUGUCCGAGCGUCGGCGUCCGUCGGCGUCGCCACCGCCUGGCCACGUCGUGUGCGCCAUGAUCCAGGCCAGCAGCUCCUCCACGUUCCGGACCAUCUUGUCGUCCUCCUGGCCGCGGGCCUGCAGGUACCUCCCACGUCGCUGAGGACGAGCUCAGCGUCGGCGAGCCAGCUGGCCUGUUGCUCCAUGAGGCAGAGAGGGCCUUUCCAAAACAAAACAUACAGUAUAUUGUGCAAUUCAUUAUUAGUUAGUAGUACUACUACAUAUGAACCAUUCUUAUUUUUUUGAAUUAUUUUAUGAAAUUUUUA